CCCUUAGAUGUUCUGGGCAGCACGCGCGCUACAAUGGUCUUCGCAAACGGAUGCAUUCUCGAAGGAGAAUGCCAAUCUUGGAAUCUAUGCCUUGGUCGGGACAGUUGCUUGCAAUUUUUCGACUCGAACCAGGAAUUCCUUGUAAUCGUGAUUCAUCACAUCACGAUGAAUACGUCCCUGCCCUUUGUACACACCGCCCGUCGCUCCUACCGAUUGAAUGCUCAGGUGAGCCAUUCGGACUUUCAUCAUGCUGGUUCCAGUUUUGAUGAAGGAAAGUCUUGCGAACCUUAUCAUUUAGAGGAAGGAGAAGUCGUAACA
This 318-nucleotide ribosomal RNA is filed under the name uncultured eukaryote. Its description in RNAcentral is "partial 18S ribosomal RNA". It matches the Rfam family "Eukaryotic small subunit ribosomal RNA", at positions 1470 to 1796 of the family's 1831-position model. The record is from RNAcentral.